RNAcentral lists this ribosomal RNA (775 nucleotides) under uncultured Neocallimastigales. RNAcentral's name for it is "partial large subunit ribosomal RNA". It matches the Rfam family "Eukaryotic large subunit ribosomal RNA", at positions 22 to 639 of the family's 3401-position model. Lineage: Eukaryota; Fungi; Neocallimastigomycota; Neocallimastigomycetes; Neocallimastigales. The record is from RNAcentral.
UACACGCUGUGACUAGCAUAUCAAUAAGCGGAGGAAAAGAAACUAACAAGGAUUCCCCUAGUAACGGCGAGUGAAGCGGGAAGAGCUCAAAUUUGAAAUCUUAAAGGGUUUCCCUUUACGAAUUGUAGUUUAAAGAAGUGUUUUCUGUUGAGGUUUUGGUAAAAGUUCUUUGGAAUAGGACAUCAUAGAGGGUGAGAAUCCCGUAUUUGACCUUUACUUUCAACUUUGUGAUACACUUUCAAAGAGUCGGAUUGUUUGGGAAUGCAGUCCAAAAUGGGUGGUAAAUUUCAUCUAAAGCUAAAUAUUGGCGAGAGACCGACUAGCGAACAAGUACCGUGAGGGAAAGAUGAAAAGAACUUUGAAAAGAGAGUUAAACAGUACGUGAAAUUGUCAAAAGGGAAGCGUUUGACACCAGUGUUGUUUUUCCUGAAAAUCAAUUAAAGAACUGUUUAUGCUAAGCUGUUUAGACUUUAUCAGCUAUCUGUUUAGUUUUGAGCUUUUCUUUAAUGCACUUUUCAGUUAACAAGUCAACAUCAAUUUCUUUUGCUGUAAAAAAGCUUGAGGAAGGUGGCUUGAGAUUCGUCUUAAGUGUUUAUAGCCUCUUGCCUAUGCAGUCGGAGAGAUUGAGGUCUGCAGCGUAGAUCCUUCGGGGCUAAAUGCAUUUGUGCUAAGUUAUAGCAUUUUAUAGACAACUUGUUGACUAUGAUUUGUCUUGUAGCUUACUCGCUUAUGUUAUUUUACCUACGCUUAGGAUGUUGACGCGCGUGUGUGCGUG